AACGAACGCUGGCGGCACGUUUUAAGCAUGCAAGUCGAACGGCAGUGGGGGUAACCCCAUGAGAGUGGCGAACGGGUGAGUAACACGUAGGUGAUCUGCCUUGAGGAUGGGGAUAGCUUGUGGAAACACAGGGUAAUACCGAAUAAGCUGGCGCGACUUUGGUUGUGUUAGUAAAGGUGCUACGGCACCGCCUUGAGAGGAGCCUGCGGCUGAUUAGCUAGUUGGUGGGGUAAAGCCUACCAAGGCGACGAUCAGUAGCCGGCCUGAGAGGGUGUACGGCCACACUGGGACUGAGACACGGCCCAGACUCCUACGGGAGGCAGCAGCUAAGAAUCUUCCGCAAUGGGCGAAAGCCUGACGGAGCGAUGCCGCGUGAUCGAUGAAG
This 385-nucleotide ribosomal RNA is filed under the name uncultured bacterium. RNAcentral describes it as "bacterial SSU rRNA". It matches the Rfam family "Bacterial small subunit ribosomal RNA", at positions 29 to 413 of the family's 1533-position model. The record is from RNAcentral.